This is a long non-coding RNA of Zingiber officinale, 1034 nucleotides long. RefSeq lists it as uncharacterized. The transcript has 4 exons. NCBI's taxonomy places the organism in Eukaryota, Viridiplantae, Streptophyta, Magnoliopsida, Zingiberales, Zingiberaceae. The record is from RefSeq and is a predicted model, not a curated record.
CCUUCUUUCCCCGAUCUCCCCGACUCCUCUCGCUGUCUCUCUCGCGGACGAACCGAAGUCGGCGAACCUUAGGCAAUCGUGGUCGUCGCCUGAGGAGUACAUCGCCGGAGAUCGAACCAGGAGGCUUGGAUCAUCUGGAUCUCUUCUAAACCCUUCCCGAGCCCUUCUCCCUGCGCGUGCCGACCCCUUUAUUCUCCGAUCGACGCCGCUGGAUCAAGCCAGAUCCACCGAUUUGCCGGCAGGAAGAGGCGUUUAGGGCUCCGAGGGUAAGGUUAGGUGGUUGAUUCGAUCGGUGUUUGGAUUGGUGAUCUUUUUGCUUGAUUCAUUGAUUGAGCCGAUUGAUCCAGUGAGAUAGGUUCUGUGAAGGUGAUCUUGGGUCUCCUCUUCCUUGUUGCUAAUUGAGAUUCCGGUUGAAGUGAGGGGAGGUGAGGUUCCAUUCUUGCUGUGGAAUUGUGUUUGGUUCCGGCAGUAACAAUCACCUCAAUCCAGCAUCAACAGUAGGUUCGAUCUGCUCUGUUCUAUUUGUGAACUUUCUGAUUUCGGCAGUAAACCAUCCCGCAACAACAACAACUGGAUUUGAGGAGUCUGAUUUGAGACAGGCGUCUCGACGUUGACUUCGGAUUUGGAUUGUACCUUCUAUUUGAGGCGGGUACCCUUUGACUUAUCUCUUGAUAGUGUCUUUUGAUAUGUGCAGUUUAUAUAUACUUACUAGUGAUUGGUAGAUUUAGCACUUCCCUGGUUAUAGGUUAUUCGAUACCUGUAGACGGUUACUAGUGAUUGGUAGUUCACACUUCCCCUGGAUUUAGGUUUGGUUGCUACUUGAUACAUGCUUCUACUGUUAUCUGCUAUACAUUAGGCUGGUAUACCUUUACUUAUUACCAUGUGUAUAUGUGUUCGUGGAUAUGGAUAUUUAUAAUGCUUUACUAUACUGGAUUAGUUGUUAUACAUAUUGGAUAUGUGAUGUUGGAUUCAUAUUGCCUAUAUCGUUGUUAUAUAUGUGUUCUUGGAUUUAUGCUGCUUCUAUCAGGGUUAUU